CCCUUAGAUGUUCUGGGCCGCACGCGCGCUACACUGUUCGACGCAGCGAGUCUUAACCUUGACCGAAAGGUUUGGGUAAUCUUCAGCAAAGUCGAACGUGAUGGGGAUCGAUCAUUGCAAUUAUUGAUCGUGAACGAGGAAUUCCUAGUAAGUGCAAGUCAUCAGCUUGCGCUGAUUACGUCCCUGCCCUUUGUACACACCGCCCGUCGCUACUACCGAUUGAAUGGUUUAGUGAGAUCUCUGGAUUGACGCUGGCUAGGGGGCGACCCUUGGCCAGACUGUUGAGAAACUGAUCAAACUUGAUCAUUUAGAGGAAGUAAAAGUCGUAACA
RNAcentral lists this ribosomal RNA (331 nucleotides) under uncultured eukaryote. Its description in RNAcentral is "partial 18S ribosomal RNA". It matches the Rfam family "Eukaryotic small subunit ribosomal RNA", at positions 1470 to 1796 of the family's 1831-position model. The record is from RNAcentral.